CAUCAGAUUUUCUGAAUGUUUUUAUUUCUUUUCUUACUUGGAUGGUGGAUCAAAUUAAGACAACCUCAUGGGAAUUGAAUUGGGUUUUGUCUAAAGUUACAGAAGGGAUGAUCUAAUGGAAGCUUUACAUAUUUCAGGAUAUGGGGUUUGGCUGCAAGAUAAUAAAUACUGUGUCAUAUCUGACCAGUCACCACAUGCACUGACAAACCCCAUAGCCUGAAAUAUGUUAGUUUUCAUUACUUUAAUCCUCUUGUCACUUUAGAUGAAACCCAAUUCAAUUUUGGUGAUGCUGCUCUUACUUUCACCAUGGAAGCUCAAUAAAACCUUUGGGCAUCAUCAGCUUGCCUAUUGAGAUGGCAAAGAUGCACGGCAUGGAGUGAUUGCUUGGAUCACUGCCAAGUUACUGUUCGUUGAUAUGAGGGGAUACCCACAGCUAGAGCCCAACACACUAAGAUAAAACGGUGGCAAUGUCUCGUUAUUGAUCAUGAUAUAUAGGAAAGGAUGGAUGAUGAUUCAUCGUGGCCAGAUGGAGCUUUAAAUUUGAAACCUACAGAAGCUUCAUCAGUAUUUUUGGAGGGACUAAUAUUUGCCAGAGAUUUUGGAUUCGUGUCGUGACUCGUAUAAUUGUGGAGGGAGGUGCUGUGGUUAGAAUCCUGUUGGGUGAUUAAUAUUCAUUUACAUUUCUUACUCGUUAUGUGUAAGAUGUUAGUCCAUCUCAUUGCAAAGAAUGUCUGUAUUCUUUCCAGACUAGCCACUUAGGAGGUUCAAAUUAUCGAUAUUCUUGAUAUGAAUUGAAUUUUUUUGAGUGUAUCAAGAGUUUCAGUUGAUCAAAACUUUUUUAUUUUUUUAUUUUUUUGCAUGGAUUUACAUUUGACAGGGGUGUAUGUUGUAAUAAAAGUAUAUUAGUGACUCUACUGAUACAAUAAACUCUGUGUUGGAUAGGGGUGUCAA
Molecule: non-coding RNA, 951 nt
Organism: Nelumbo nucifera (sacred lotus)
Lineage: Eukaryota; Viridiplantae; Streptophyta; Magnoliopsida; Proteales; Nelumbonaceae
Source: RefSeq, a predicted model, not a curated record